GGAGGUGGGAGAAGCUGCGGAAAAGUACCAAGAUGAAGAUAGUACCAGGUAAGGAUUCUGAAUGUUAGCUUUCACUAAUUCUCCUUCCGAAUGCUAAAGCCUAACUGCGAUCUUCUGUCACUAAUCUUCCCUCAGAAUGGUAACAAAAUAUUGCAAGUUCUUGCUAUGAACACUCGUGUAGAAUUAUUAUUACGGUUCACUAGUUUUCUUUUGGCUUUUGAACACAUCAUGUGCCUACUUAAUUUACAGUCGAUCUGCCUUCCUUUGCAAUGUUGACAAAACAGCACAACUGUACGCCUUCUUGUUAUUCACAUGCAUAUAGAAUCACUGUUCACCGUCAUUGUUGAACAAAUAUUGUGAUUGUUGAAGAAAUACCAUGAUUCUUGAAAAAUUUUGUGAUAUUUUGAACAAAUACUGUGAUUCUUGAACAAAUUACCAUGUUUCUUGAACAGAUAUCCAUGAUUCUUGAACAAAUUCUCAUGUCAGUAAUUAUCUUGAGCUAUGUGACCGAUUGGCCUGUCUAUUUGUACUUGGAGAGAUAAUCAUUAGAUAUCAGUUGGUUUUCUUACCUUCUUUCAUGAUGUUAAUGGGCUUUCUUUUAGUGUGUUAGAUUUAGUUUAACUGUACGCUGGGGAGAUUGUUCAGGACAUAUGCAUUAUUUGAUUUGACAACAUCACAUGGUCUUUUAUCAUAAAGAACAUUUUGUUUAUACCACUUGAUAAAGGAUAUUUUGGUACCACCCAACUGGCAACCACCUCAGAUCACACGUGGCGUCACUCCAGUCAAAGUAAUGCACAUAUCUCAAUGCAGUGUGAAACGACACAG
RNAcentral lists this long non-coding RNA (825 nucleotides) under Musa acuminata (dwarf banana). RNAcentral describes it as "long non-coding RNA (MACU_LNC006705)". Lineage: Eukaryota; Viridiplantae; Streptophyta; Magnoliopsida; Zingiberales; Musaceae. The record is from RNAcentral.